Molecule: ribosomal RNA, 3854 nt
Filed under: Staphylococcus argenteus
Lineage: Bacteria; Bacillati; Bacillota; Bacilli; Caryophanales; Staphylococcaceae
Description: bacterial LSU rRNA
Rfam family: Bacterial large subunit ribosomal RNA
Source: RNAcentral
UUAAGUUAUUAAGGGCGCACGGUGGAUGCCUUGGCACUAGAAGCCGAUGAAGGACGUUACUAACGACGAUAUGCUUUGGGGAGCUGUAAGUAAGCUUUGAUCCAGAGAUUUCCGAAUGGGGAAACCCAACAUGAGUUAUGUCAUGUUAUCGAUAUGUGAAUACAUAGCAUAUCAGAAGGCACACCCGGAGAACUGAAACAUCUUAGUACCCGGAGGAAGAGAAAGAAAAUUCGAUUCCCUUAGUAGCGGCGAGCGAAACGGGAAGAGCCCAAACCAACAAGCUUGCUUGUUGGGGUUGUAGGACACUCUAUACGGAGUUACAAAGGACGACAUUAGACGAAUCAUCUGGAAAGAUGAAUCAAAGAAGGUAAUAAUCCUGUAGUCGAAAAUGUUGUCUCUCUUGAGUGGAUCCUGAGUACGACGGAGCACGUGAAAUUCCGUCGGAAUCUGGGAGGACCAUCUCCUAAGGCUAAAUACUCUCUAGUGACCGAUAGUGAACCAGUACCGUGAGGGAAAGGUGAAAAGCACCCCGGAAGGGGAGUGAAAUAGAACCUGAAACCGUGUGCUUACAAGUAGUCAGAGCCCGUUAAUGGGUGAUGGCGUGCCUUUUGUAGAAUGAACCGGCGAGUUACGAUUUGAUGCAAGGUUAAGCAGUAAAUGUGGAGCCGUAGCGAAAGCGAGUCUGAAUAGGGCGUUUAGUAUUUGGUCGUAGACCCGAAACCAGGUGAUCUACCCUUGGUCAGGUUGAAGUUCAGGUAACACUGAAUGGAGGACCGAACCGACUUACGUUGAAAAGUGAGCGGAUGAACUGAGGGUAGCGGAGAAAUUCCAAUCGAACCUGGAGAUAGCUGGUUCUCUCCGAAAUAGCUUUAGGGCUAGCCUCAAGUGAUGAUUAUUGGAGGUAGAGCACUGUUUGGACGAGGGGCCCCUCUCGGGUUACCGAAUUCAGACAAACUCCGAAUGCCAAUUAAUUUAACUUGGGAGUCAGAACAUGGGUGAUAAGGUCCGUGUUCGAAAGGGAAACAGCCCAGACCACCAGCUAAGGUCCCAAAAUAUAUGUUAAGUGGAAAAGGAUGUGGCGUUGCCCAGACAACUAGGAUGUUGGCUUAGAAGCAGCCAUCAUUUAAAGAGUGCGUAAUAGCUCACUAGUCGAGUGACACUGCGCCGAAAAUGUACCGGGGCUAAACAUAUUACCGAAGCUGUGGAUUGUCCUUUGGACAAUGGUAGGAGAGCGUUCUAAGGGCGUUGAAGCAUGAUCGUAAGGACAUGUGGAGCGCUUAGAAGUGAGAAUGCCGGUGUGAGUAGCGAAAGACGGGUGAGAAUCCCGUCCACCGAUUGACUAAGGUUUCCAGAGGAAGGCUCGUCCGCUCUGGGUUAGUCGGGUCCUAAGCUGAGGCCGACAGGCGUAGGCGAUGGAUAACAGGUUGAUAUUCCUGUACCACCUAUAAUCGUUUUAAUCGAUGGGGGGACGCAGUAGGAUAGGCGAAGCGUGCGAUUGGAUUGCACGUCUAAGCAGUAAGGCUGAGNUGAUGGCGUGCCUUUUGUAGAAUGAACCGGCGAGUUACGAUUUGAUGCAAGGUUAAGCAGUAAAUGUGGAGCCGUAGCGAAAGCGAGUCUGAAUAGGGCGUUUAGUAUUUGGUCGUAGACCCGAAACCAGGUGAUCUACCCUUGGUCAGGUUGAAGUUCAGGUAACACUGAAUGGAGGACCGAACCGACUUACGUUGAAAAGUGAGCGGAUGAACUGAGGGUAGCGGAGAAAUUCCAAUCGAACCUGGAGAUAGCUGGUUCUCUCCGAAAUAGCUUUAGGGCUAGCCUCAAGUGAUGAUUAUUGGAGGUAGAGCACUGUUUGGACGAGGGGCCCCUCUCGGGUUACCGAAUUCAGACAAACUCCGAAUGCCAAUUAAUUUAACUUGGGAGUCAGAACAUGGGUGAUAAGGUCCGUGUUCGAAAGGGAAACAGCCCAGACCACCAGCUAAGGUCCCAAAAUAUAUGUUAAGUGGAAAAGGAUGUGGCGUUGCCCAGACAACUAGGAUGUUGGCUUAGAAGCAGCCAUCAUUUAAAGAGUGCGUAAUAGCUCACUAGUCGAGUGACACUGCGCCGAAAAUGUACCGGGGCUAAACAUAUUACCGAAGCUGUGGAUUGUACUUUGGACAAUGGUAGGAGAGCGUUCUAAGGGCGUUGAAGCAUGAUCGUAAGGACAUGUGGAGCGCUUAGAAGUGAGAAUGCCGGUGUGAGUAGCGAAAGACGGGUGAGAAUCCCGUCUACCGAUUGACUAAGGUUUCCAGAGGAAGGCUCGUCCGCUCUGGGUUAGUCGGGUCCUAAGCUGAGGCCGACAGGCGUAGGCGAUGGAUAACAGGUUGAUAUUCCUGUACCACCUAUAAUCGUUUUAAUCGAUGGGGGGACGCAGUAGGAUAGGCGAAGCGUGCGAUUGGAUUGCACGUCUAAGCAGUAAGGCUGAGUAUUAGGCAAAUCCGGUACUCAUUAAGGCUGAGCUGUGAUGGGGAGAAGACAUUGUGUCUUCGAGUCGUUGAUUUCACACUGCCGAGAAAAGCCUCUAGAUAGAAAAUAGGUGCCCGUACCGCAAACCGACACAGGUAGUCAAGAUGAGAAUUCUAAGGUGAGCGAGCGAACUCUCGUUAAGGAACUCGGCAAAAUGACCCCGUAACUUCGGGAGAAGGGGUGCUCUUUAGGGUUAACGCCCAGAAGAGCCGCAGUGAAUAGGCCCAAGCGACUGUUUAUCAAAAACACAGGUCUCUGCUAAACCGUAAGGUGAUGUAUAGGGGCUGACGCCUGCCCGGUGCUGGAAGGUUAAGAGGAGUGGUUAGCUUCUGCGAAGCUACGAAUCGAAGCCCCAGUAAACGGCGGCCGUAACUAUAACGGUCCUAAGGUAGCGAAAUUCCUUGUCGGGUAAGUUCCGACCCGCACGAAAGGCGUAACGAUUUGGGCACUGUCUCAACGAGAGACUCGGUGAAAUCAUAGUACCUGUGAAGAUGCAGGUUACCCGCGACAGGACGGAAAGACCCCGUGGAGCUUUACUGUAGCCUGAUAUUGAAAUUCGGCACAGCUUGUACAGGAUAGGUAGGAGCCUUUGAAACGUGAGCGCUAGCUUACGUGGAGGCGCUGGUGGGAUACUACCCUAGCUGUGUUGGCUUUCUAACCCGCACCACUUAUCGUGGUGGGAGACAGUGUCAGGCGGGCAGUUUGACUGGGGCGGUCGCCUCCUAAAAGGUAACGGAGGCGCUCAAAGGUUCCCUCAGAAUGGUUGGAAAUCAUUCAUAGAGUGUAAAGGCAUAAGGGAGCUUGACUGCGAGACCUACAAGUCGAGCAGGGUCGAAAGACGGACUUAGUGAUCCGGUGGUUCCGCAUGGAAGGGCCAUCGCUCAACGGAUAAAAGCUACCCCGGGGAUAACAGGCUUAUCUCCCCCAAGAGUUCACAUCGACGGGGAGGUUUGGCACCUCGAUGUCGGCUCAUCGCAUCCUGGGGCUGUAGUCGGUCCCAAGGGUUGGGCUGUUCGCCCAUUAAAGCGGUACGCGAGCUGGGUUCAGAACGUCGUGAGACAGUUCGGUCCCUAUCCGUCGUGGGCGUAGGAAAUUUGAGAGGAGCUGUCCUUAGUACGAGAGGACCGGGAUGGACAUACCUCUGGUGUACCAGUUGUCGUGCCAACGGCAUAGCUGGGUAGCUAUGUGUGGACGGGAUAAGUGCUGAAAGCAUCUAAGCAUGAAGCCCCCCUCAAGAUGAGAUUUCCCAACUUCGGUUAUAAGAUCCCUCAAAGAUGAUGAGGUUAAUAGGUUCGAGGUGGAAGCAUGGUGACAUGUGGAGCUGACGAAUACUAAUCGAUCGAAGACUUAAUCAA